RNAcentral lists this unclassified non-coding RNA (337 nucleotides) under Hevea brasiliensis (rubber tree). Lineage: Eukaryota; Viridiplantae; Streptophyta; Magnoliopsida; Malpighiales; Euphorbiaceae. The record is from RNAcentral.
CGAAGCGAUUAGGGCGACACAGCCGGGCGUAUAUCUCCAUCUUAGGCCGCCGGAUCUCCUUCUCCGCCCGCUUCAUCAGAUGCCGGUAACUCUCCGGGAGCUUCGCCCUCCAUAUCUGGUCGGACGAAGCCGCCCGCGAGAACGUCGAGCUGACACGCGCCAGCCGGCAGAUCUCCGGCGGGUCGAGAUGCUUCAUCACCUCCGCCACGCAGCCCUCCGGCAGGUCCCCCAGCCCCGUCUCGCCGCCGCCGAUCUCGCCCUCCGGGCCGGCAAUGCUCGACGCCGAAGCCCCCAUCGCCGCCGCUGCUUGCUGCUCAGUGAGUGCAGAGGAAACGAG